This 996-nucleotide long non-coding RNA is filed under the name Olea europaea subsp. europaea. The record is from RNAcentral. Lineage: Eukaryota; Viridiplantae; Streptophyta; Magnoliopsida; Lamiales; Oleaceae.
UCCGCAAUUUUUCCAAGGUUUAUAACGCUUUAAAAGGUAGUGUACUAUUCUCCGUGUGAGAUCAUACUCAAACACUGUUAGUAAAUAUGAGGCGUUUAACAAUAUUGUACUAAAAAUUGUCUUAAAUUUUUACCUCUAGAUUUACAUUGAGAAAAGAGAAUCUAACCCCUUCCUACUAAGCACCCCACAAAGUUUAUGAAUCGAACCAUCAUUUUCAACCAAUUGAAGCCAAGUCUAAUGCACCCUGAAUGGUCCCUUUCUUACCUUAUUACAUUACUUGCCAUGUGAACUAUUCUAUCAGGUCGGAGUUGGCUGCUUUCGAUUCAACCCAUGCAAUCUUCCAGCUUGUGCCAAAUGCAAUUAAGACAUAUGAAUUUAAUCCCUUGUAGGUGGCCAUUCACAUCAUAUGAAUGCAAAUGUCGUUUCAUAAAUACAUCUCAGUUUCAUACUCUAUAUACAACAUACUGCAGAUUCCUUGUGCAAAUACGUAUACCUGUAAAAAUGGCGAUAAAACACAAAACAGUGGAAAUAUGAAGGAUUCGAGCACAGACAAUACGAAGAUGAAAAGGCAAAUGCAAUCAUGAGUUAAAAGAGAGUGAAUGAGGACGAGAAAAAGCUCAUUAUCUCUACUGGUACAAACUAUAUAUAUCAUUAGGGGUAAUUAACAAAAAACGUCAUAAACUUUUAAUGCUAUUGUGUAAAACGUUCAUACCUUAUAGUUUUUGGCACUUUUACAUUUACCUUUACCUUUUAUUGCGAAAAUAAUCAUUUUAAUCAAAUUUCUCUUGUAAAAUGACAAAUAUACCCCUCUAUAAAUAAAACCAAAUAAAAAAGAAAAGAAAAGUUAAAGAAUAAAUUGAAAUCAUACUCCCAAACUUUUUUAAAAAGUACAAAUGAGUUCAAAUAAAUUAUUAAAAAUGUAAUUAGCACAAAACAUCACUACGUUUCAUUAUUAUUGUGCAUAACAUCCUUACCUUUCAUUUUUUUUUCUUACCC